CCUACGGGAGGCUGCAGUGGGGAAUAUUGGACAAUGGGGGGAACCCUGAUCCAGCCAUGCCGCGUGUGUGAAGAAGGCCCUCGGGUUGUAAAGCACUUUCAGUGAGGAAGAACGCCUGGUGGUUAAUACCCAUCAGGAAAGACAUCACUCACAGAAGAAGCACCGGCUAACUCCGUGCCAGCAGCCGCGGUAAUACGGAGGGUGCGAGCGUUAAUCGGAAUUACUGGGCGUAAAGCGCGCGUAGGUGGCUUGAUAAGCCGGUUGUGAAAGCCCCGGGCUCAACCUGGGAACGGCAUCCGGAACUGUCCAGCUAGAGUGCAGGAGAGGAAGGUAGAAUUCCCGGUGUAGCGGUGAAAUGCGUAGAGAUCGGGAGGAAUACCAGUGGCGAAGGCGGCCUUCUGGACUGACACUGACACUGAGGUGCGAAAGCGUGGGUAGCAAACAGGAUUAGAUACCCUGGUAGUC
This 465-nucleotide ribosomal RNA is filed under the name Vreelandella stevensii. RNAcentral describes it as "partial 16S ribosomal RNA". It matches the Rfam family "Bacterial small subunit ribosomal RNA", at positions 338 to 795 of the family's 1533-position model. The record is from RNAcentral. Lineage: Bacteria; Pseudomonadati; Pseudomonadota; Gammaproteobacteria; Oceanospirillales; Halomonadaceae.